CUGUUUCUUGUAGGAAGUCUUGCAGCUAACUGCUGAAAAAAAAGUGGCAUGUAAAUCUGAUUGAUGAAAAUUGUUGUAUGCCAUCAGAAGGUUGUUUGUUUGUCUGAAUUCUUAAGCUAUAUGCACAUGUUUAGAUGUGCAAAUUCUCGAGAUUAAAGAGUUAGGGUCAGUAGAUAAUAGUAAGAUUAACCCGUCAGGGUAAGCUUCCAAAUGUAACUGAAAAUUAAACUGUUGUAUUAUUUUCUUCGGUUGGUGAGGCAGUUCAAGAUGUGUCCUUGCACGGUUACUUUCACCUACCUAAUUCAACUUCUUCCUCCUUUUCACUUGAAUUUAUUUCACCAUGAUUCAGCUGCUCUCUCUCCAGAUCUGAAUGAAACAGGGCAUCCAGCCAUCUCAAGGGUGUCAAAAUGAACACUGGCGGCCACGGGAGUCCCUCGGGGGCAUCCUAUAAAAUACUAGCUCAGGGAAAAGAUCAAGUUUAUUAGAAGAGAUUCGCUGACGGAGUUUUGUCCAAAAGCUCGGGUUGACGGGGAGAGACGACACUGCUAGUUUGCUGAAGUGGUAGACUGCCAUUCAGAUGCAUUUAUCUACUGAUUGCCCACGUGCAGCCUAGGAACAGGCCGGUGAUGUCUUCGGUUGUCAUGAUGCUGGCCGGUGAGAAUGCCAUGUUGCCGGAGCCAAAUGAGCCCGGUGUAAACCUUGGGAGGAACAUGACAUAUACAUGAUUUUUCUGAAAAUGAAAGCGAGUUCACCAUGACUAUGACAGGUACUAGGUAGUUUAGCUUGGGAUAGAAUACAAUGCACGGGUUACAACAGAAGUUAUUUCUUGUCUCACAAUUACUGAUUGCUCUUUGUUCUCAUUUUCCUUUGUUACCUGAAACUAUUCCUUGUCAACACAUAAGCGGAAGCCGGGUUCGAAGCCACCGACAGUGUCUUCCUUGGAUUCGUUCGUGCAAUAAGGAGGGGACCCAGCCUUCUUCACAUGUCGAGCAACAAGGGUGAUCGAGGAGGAUUACCAUGGCCCAGUGGGUGUCGUGCUCUUCAACCACUUGGAGGUGCACUUCACCGUGAAGCCUGGUGACUACUGCACACAGAUGAUCAUCCAGGUGAUCGCGCCGUCGGAGGCCGCCGAGGUGGAGGUCCUCGACGCCACCGUCCGGGGGGAGGUCCACCGGUGUUUGAACUCCAAGCCUUGGUAGAUACAUCUUCCAUGUGGUUUGUUUAGGUUGGUAGUGGAAUGCUAGGGAAGGUACCCACCUUUUAGGUGAUGGUUGUGUUCGUCUGACGUUAAAUGGGAUGUCGUGAUUUCUUUCAGUUGAGAUGUUGUUCCUUGACAUGAGUUUAUUUUGCACCGGGCAUGUCUAUUUCUA
Non-coding RNA from Triticum urartu, 1370 nucleotides. Lineage: Eukaryota; Viridiplantae; Streptophyta; Magnoliopsida; Poales; Poaceae. The record is from RefSeq and is a predicted model, not a curated record.